This 492-nucleotide ribosomal RNA is filed under the name uncultured bacterium. Its description in RNAcentral is "partial 16S ribosomal RNA". It matches the Rfam family "Bacterial small subunit ribosomal RNA", at positions 29 to 507 of the family's 1533-position model. The record is from RNAcentral.
AGUGAACGCUGGCGGUAGGCCUAACACAUGCAAGUCGAACGGCAGCACAGUAAGAGCUUGCCCUUACGGGUGGCGGGUGGCGGACGGGUGAGGCAUACAUCGGCAUCUACUUUUUCUUGGGGGAUAACGGGGGGAAACUAAUGAUAAUACCGAAUACUACCUACGGGUGAAAGCAGGGGAGAUUGACGCCUUUGGCGUUUAUAAGAGCCGGUGUCGGAUUAGCUAGUUGGGUAGGUAAAGGCCCACCAAGGCGACGAUCCGUAGCUGGUCUGGGAGGAUGAUCAGCCACACUGGAACUGAGACACGGUCCAGACUCCUACGGGAGGCAGCAGUGGGGAAUAUUGCGCAAUGGGCGAAAGCCUGACCCAGCCAUGCCGCGUGAGUGAAGAAGGUCUUCGGGUUGUAAAGCCCUUUUGUUGGGAAAGAAAAGCAGCAUAAUUAAACCCCGCUGUUCUGACGGUACCCAAAGAGUAAGCACCGGCUAACUUCGUG